GUGAGGAAUAUUGGUCAAUGGACGCGAGUCUGAACCAGCCAAGUAGCGUGAAGGAUGACUGCCCUAUGGGUUGUAAACUUCUUUUAUAUGGGAAUAAAGUUGUCCACGUGUGGAUUUUUGUAUGUACCAUAUGAAUAAGGAUCGGCUAACUCCGUGCCAGCAGCCGCGGUAAUACGGAGGAUCCGAGCGUUAUCCGGAUUUAUUGGGUUUAAAGGGAGCGUAGGCGGAUUGUUAAGUCAGUUGUGAAAGUUUGCGGCUCAACCGUAAAAUUGCAGUUGAUACUGGCAGUCUUGAGUGCAGUAGAGGUGGGCGGAAUUCGUGGUGUAGCGGUGAAAUGCUUAGAUAUCACGAAGAACUCCGAUUGCGAAGGCAGCUCACUGGAGUGUAACUGACGCUGAUGCUCGAAAGUGUGGGUAUCAAACAGG
Molecule: ribosomal RNA, 425 nt
Filed under: bacterium
Lineage: Bacteria
Also listed under: 1 other name
Description: bacterial SSU rRNA
Rfam family: Bacterial small subunit ribosomal RNA
Source: RNAcentral